AUUGAACGCUGGCGGCAUGCCUUACACAUGCAAGUCGAACGGUAACGCGGGGCAACCUGGCGACGAGUGGCGAACGGGUGAGUAAUACAUCGGAACGUGCCCAGUAGUGGGGGAUAGCCCGGCGAAAGCCGGAUUAAUACCGCAUACGACCUACGGGUGAAAGCAGGGGAUCGCAAGACCUUGCGCUAUUGGAGCGGCCGAUGUCAGAUUAGGUUGUUGGUGGGGUAAAAGCCUACCAAGCCGACGAUCUGUAGCUGGUCUGAGAGGACGACCAGCCACACUGGGACUGAGACACGGCCCAGACUCCUACGGGAGGCAGCAGUGGGGAAUUUUUGGGACAAUGGGCGCAAGCCUGAUCCAGCCAUGCCGCGUGCGGGAAGAAGGCCUUCGGUUGUAA
Molecule: ribosomal RNA, 397 nt
Filed under: uncultured bacterium
Lineage: Bacteria
Description: bacterial SSU rRNA
Rfam family: Bacterial small subunit ribosomal RNA
Source: RNAcentral